AGUGAACGCUGGCGGUAGGCCUAACACAUGCAAGUCGAACGGCAGCACAGUAAGAGCUUGCUCUUACGGGUGGCGAGUGGCGGACGGGUGAGGAAUACAUCGGAAUCUACUUUUUCGUGGGGGAUAACGUAGGGAAACUUACGCUAAUACCGCAUACGACCUACGGGUGAAAGCAGGGGAUCUUCGGACCUUGCGCGAUUGAAUGAGCCGAUGUCGGAUUAGCUAGUUGGCGGGGUAAAGGCCCACCAAGGCGACGAUCCGUAGCGGGACUGAGUGGACGAUCAGCCGCAUAGGAACUGGGACGCGGGCCAGACUCCGACGGGAGGCAGCAGUGGGAAAUAUUGGACAAGGGGCGCAAGCCUGAACCAGCCAUACCGCGUGGGUGAAGAAGGCCUUCGGGUUGUAAAGCCCUUUUGUUGGGAAAGAAAAGCAGCAGGUUAAUACCCCGCUGUUCGGACGGUACCCAAAGAAUAAGCACCGGCUAACUUCGU
This 491-nucleotide ribosomal RNA is filed under the name uncultured bacterium. Its description in RNAcentral is "partial 16S ribosomal RNA". It matches the Rfam family "Bacterial small subunit ribosomal RNA", at positions 29 to 506 of the family's 1533-position model. The record is from RNAcentral.